UACGUAGGUGGCGAGCGUUGUCCGGAAUCACUGGGCGUAAAGGGCGCGUAGGCGGCGAAACAAGUCACAUGUGAAAUACCAGGGCUCAACCUUGGGGGGUCAUGUGAAACUGUUUUGCUUGAGUGCAGUAGAGGAGAGCGGAAUUCCUGGUGUAGCGGUAAAAUGCGUAGAGAUCAGGAGGAACACCGGUGGCGAAGGCGGCUCUCUGGGCUGUAACUGACGCUGAGGCGCGAAAGCGUGGGGAGCAAACAGG
This 253-nucleotide ribosomal RNA is filed under the name uncultured bacterium. RNAcentral's name for it is "partial 16S ribosomal RNA". It matches the Rfam family "Bacterial small subunit ribosomal RNA", at positions 524 to 776 of the family's 1533-position model. The record is from RNAcentral.